RNAcentral lists this ribosomal RNA (420 nucleotides) under uncultured bacterium. RNAcentral describes it as "bacterial SSU rRNA". It matches the Rfam family "Bacterial small subunit ribosomal RNA", at positions 34 to 468 of the family's 1533-position model. The record is from RNAcentral.
GAAUUCACUAGUGAUUCAGGCCUAACACAUGCAAGUCGAGCGAACCACUUCGGUGGUGAGCGGCGAACGGGUGAGUAACACGUAGGUGAUCUGCCCAUCAGACGGGGACAACGAUUGGAAACGAUCGCUAAUACCGGAUAGGACGAAAGUUUAAAGGUGCUCCUGGCACCGCUGAUGGAUGAGCCUGCGGCGCAUUAGCUAGUUGGUAGGGUAAAGGCCUACCAAGGCGACGAUGCGUAGCCGACCUGAGAGGGUGAACGGCCACACUGGGACUGAGACACGGCCCAGACUCCUACGGGAGGCAGCAGUAGGGAAUCUUCGGCAAUGGGCGAAAGCCUGACCGAGCAAAGCCGCGUGAAUGAUGAAGGCCUUCGGGUGUAAAAUUAAGGAUAAGGGAAGAACGACUUUAGUAGGAAAUGG